UACGAAGGGGGGCUAGCGUUGUUCGGAAUUACUGGGCGUAAAGCGUGCGCAGGCGGUUUUGUAAGUCUGUCGUGAAAUCCCCGGGCUCAACCUGGGAAUUCGCGAUGGAGACUGCAAGGCUAGAAUCUGGCAGAGGGGGGUAGAAUUCCACGUGUGAGCAGUGAAAUGCGUAGAGAUGUGGAGGAACACCGAUGGCGAAGGCAGCCCCCUGGGUCAAGAUGACGC
This 225-nucleotide ribosomal RNA is filed under the name uncultured bacterium. Its description in RNAcentral is "partial 16S ribosomal RNA". It matches the Rfam family "Bacterial small subunit ribosomal RNA", at positions 524 to 746 of the family's 1533-position model. The record is from RNAcentral.